This 430-nucleotide unclassified non-coding RNA is filed under the name Hevea brasiliensis (rubber tree). Lineage: Eukaryota; Viridiplantae; Streptophyta; Magnoliopsida; Malpighiales; Euphorbiaceae. The record is from RNAcentral.
GAGUCUCGCCCGCAAAUGAAAGAGGUAGUUCGAGUUCUUGAAGGAUAUAGUCCUCCAAAGGAUAAGGCUGGAACUCCGUUUACUAGAUGAGCAGUCUCAAGUUCACGACCUAAGCAUCUUUUCUUACCAAACAACUUGUCGUUUCCCUCGUUCUUUUUGACUUAAGAUUGUUUUAAAUCUAGUUAUUAAGUGGAUGAACAAGCGAAUGGUUUGGCAUCUGAGAGUUUUAGCAUGAAAUUAACAGUAUUAUGAAUUUAGCAUGUGGUUGGAGUUUUUGAAAAAAACUCUUGUAUUGUGUCUUACGUGUUGCAGAAUUUUGGCUAUAUGUGUACUUCUUCCCUGCAAAAAUUCAUCUAGAUUUGAUUUUCUUUUAAGAGGUUUCCGUUGUUGGAAUUUGUUGGGCUCUAAAAAGGAGAAACCAAUAAAUUUG